RNAcentral lists this ribosomal RNA (253 nucleotides) under uncultured bacterium. RNAcentral's name for it is "partial 16S ribosomal RNA". It matches the Rfam family "Bacterial small subunit ribosomal RNA", at positions 524 to 776 of the family's 1533-position model. The record is from RNAcentral.
UACGUAGGUCGCAAGCGUUGUCCGGAUUUACUGGGCGUAAAGAGCGCGCAGGCGGCUGGCCAAGUCCGAUGUGAAAGCUUCCGGCUUAACCGGGAAAUUGCAUCGGAAACUGGUCGGCUUGAAGGUGGGAGAGGGUAGCGGAAUUCCCGGUGUAGUGGUGAAAUGCGUAGAUAUCGGGAGGAACACCAGUGGCGAAGGCGGCUACCUGGCCCAUUCUUGACGCUGAGGCGCGAAAGCUAGGGGAGCGAACGGG